This is a regulatory RNA element of Facklamia languida, 72 nucleotides long. The record is from Rfam. Lineage: Bacteria; Bacillati; Bacillota; Bacilli; Lactobacillales; Aerococcaceae.
CCACAACUGCAACCGCUCAUCAUUGAGUCUAAGUGUCUUGGACCACUCAAUAUGGCGAGUCUAAGUGUAGGU